UGCUAGCARMSRMGGYRWWUCCAGCUCCAAUAGCGUAUAUUAAAGUUGUUGCAGUUAAAAAGCUCGUAGUUGAAUUUCGGGGUUAGUAGGUUGGUCAUGCCUCUGGUAUGUACUGGUCUCACUGAUUCCUCCUUCCUUAUGAACCGUAAUGCCAUUAAUUUGGUGUUGCGGGGAAUUUGGACUGUUACUUUGAAAAAAUUAGAGUGUUUAAAGCAAGCUAACGCUUGAAUACAUUAGCAUGGAAUAGUGAAAUAGGACGUUCGAUCUUAUUUUGUUGGUUUCUAGGAUUGACGUAAUGAUUAACAGGGACAGUUGGGGGCAUUAGUAUUCAAUUGUCAGUGGUGAAAUUCUUGGAUUUAUUGAAGACUAACUACUGCGAAAGCAUUUGCCAAGGAUGUUUUCAUUGAUCAAGAACGAAAGUUAGGGGAUCGAAGACGAUCAGAUACCGUCGUAGUCUUAACCAUAAACUAUGCCGACUAGGGAUCGGAUGAUGUUARUWKYYUAAUGACUCAUUCGGCGCCUACCGGGAAAACAAAAUAUG
This 541-nucleotide ribosomal RNA is filed under the name Rhizophagus sp. (in: glomeromycetes). Its description in RNAcentral is "Rhizophagus sp. (in: Fungi) partial small subunit ribosomal RNA". The record is from RNAcentral. Lineage: Eukaryota; Fungi; Glomeromycota; Glomeromycetes; Glomerales; Glomeraceae.